RNAcentral lists this ribosomal RNA (718 nucleotides) under Pseudomonas aeruginosa. RNAcentral describes it as "bacterial SSU rRNA". It matches the Rfam family "Bacterial small subunit ribosomal RNA", at positions 92 to 797 of the family's 1533-position model. The record is from RNAcentral. Lineage: Bacteria; Pseudomonadati; Pseudomonadota; Gammaproteobacteria; Pseudomonadales; Pseudomonadaceae.
UCAGCGGCGGACGGGUUGAUGUAUAUGCCUAGGAAUCUGCCUGGUAGUGGGGGAUAACGUCCCGGAAACGGGCGCUAAUACCGCAUACGUCCUGAGGGAGAAAGUGGGGGAUCUUCGGACCUCACGCUAUCAGAUGAGCCUAGGUCGGAUUAGCUAGUUGGUGGGGUAAAGGCCUACCAAGGCGACGAUCCGGUAACUGGUCUGAGAGGAUGAUCAGUCACACUGGAACUGAGACACGGUCCAGACUCCUACGGGAGGCAGCAGUGGGGAAUAUUGGACAAUGGGCGAAAGCCUGAUCCCAGCCAUGCCGCGUGUGUGAAGAAGGUCUUCGGAUUGUAAAGCACUUUAAGUUGGGAGGAAGGGCAGUAAGUUAAUACCUUGCUGUUUUGACGUUACCAACAGAAAUAAGCACCGGCUAACUUCGUGCCAGCAGCCGCGGUAAUACGAAGGGUGCAAGCGUUAAUCGGAAUUACUGGGCGUAAAGCGCGCGUAGGUGGUUCAGCAAGUUGGGAUGUGAAAUCCCCGGGCUCAACCUGGGAACUGCAUCCUAAACUACUGAGCUAGAGUACGGUAGAGGGUGGUGGAAUUUCCUGUGUAGCGCCGAAAUGCGUAGAAUAUAGGAAGGAACACCAGUGGCGAAGGCGACCACCUGGACUGAUACUGACACUGAUGUGCGAAAGCGUGGGGAGCAAACAGGAUUAGAUACCCCGUUAGUCCA